AAAGUCGUAACAAGGUUUCCGUAGGUGAACCUGCGGAAGGAUCAUUACAGAAUAAACUUGAUAAGUUGUAGCUGGCUCAUUUGAGUAUGUGCACACUUGUCAUCUUUAUCUUUCCACCAUGUGCACUAUGCAUAGGUUCUGAUGAAAUUUGAUCAAGGGUUUCUGACCUCUGGUUAUUGGAGAACUGCUGUUGGCGACAACAGCUUUCUCUGUUAUCAGUUCCUGUGAUUUUAUAAAUACACCAAGUAUGUUAAAGAAUGUUUACAUGGGCGCUUGUAGCCUAUAUAUCUAUAAUACAACUUUCAGCAACGGAUCUCUUGGCUCUC
RNAcentral lists this unclassified non-coding RNA (326 nucleotides) under Basidiomycota sp. RNAcentral describes it as "partial contains small subunit ribosomal RNA, internal transcribed spacer 1, and 5.8S ribosomal RNA". The stretch from base 1 to 47 matches the Rfam family "Eukaryotic small subunit ribosomal RNA", at positions 1785 to 1831 of the family's 1831-position model. Lineage: Eukaryota; Fungi; Basidiomycota. The record is from RNAcentral.